This is a long non-coding RNA of Sciurus carolinensis (gray squirrel), 592 nucleotides long. RefSeq lists it as uncharacterized. Lineage: Eukaryota; Metazoa; Chordata; Mammalia; Rodentia; Sciuridae. The record is from RefSeq and is a predicted model, not a curated record. The transcript is spliced from 5 exons.
GACAUGUUUGUUUUUUUGUGUGGUCUUGGGUGAGUAUGAUCUUUGUUUGAAUUUUGUGAGCACAAGUAAUGCAUCUGCUUCUUGUCUAGACAUGGAGCUGACUGGAGUUGCCCCUUAGAGGAAAGAGAGUAGAAGAGAAUAAAGUUCAAUGAGGUACAGUUCCAUGGAUUAUCUUUGUCUCCAAGUGGAGAGAGCUGGGACUGGAGCCAGAGUCCAGAGAGAAUCACUUAGCAAUGGAUUUGUGCUACUUGCAUCUAAAGGAGUCCUGUUUAAUCCUUAGUUAUUGGAGAGCCAGUGUAAAAAUUGUGCACAUGACUUAAGAAGAAAUCAUGGGCUGCUUUAUUGUUUCCUCCCCCCAAAACUUCCCUUACCUCAAACCCCAAACCCAAAAUACCAACCCACCACUAUUAAGGAAGCUGCCAAAGAAACAGGGAACUGACUGCUGCCUAACACCAGUAAGAAAACCAGAUCCAUUGACCAUAGGCAAGAUUUAUCAGCUGGAAUGGAUUUCAGAUGAUCAGAGGAAACAAUGUUGCUGCUGGAACUGUUCUAAGGAGUAAUUGAGCACAUUCCCUCUUCGCCAUGAGUGCAG